This 232-nucleotide ribosomal RNA is filed under the name uncultured bacterium. RNAcentral describes it as "partial 16S ribosomal RNA". It matches the Rfam family "Bacterial small subunit ribosomal RNA", at positions 118 to 350 of the family's 1533-position model. The record is from RNAcentral.
UGGGCAACCUGCCCCUAGCUCUGGGAUAACUGCGGGAAACUGUAGCUAAUACCGGAUGUGACACGAGACUGCAUGGUCUUCGUGUAGAAAGAUUUAUCGGCUAGGGAUGGGCCCGCGGUCUAUCAGCUUGUUGGUGGGGUAAUGGCUCACCAAGGCGACGACGGAUAACCGGCCUGAGAGGGCGACCGGUCACACUGGGACUGAGACACGGCCCAGACUCCUACGGGAGGNA